Molecule: long non-coding RNA, 943 nt
Organism: Gasterosteus aculeatus aculeatus (three-spined stickleback)
Lineage: Eukaryota; Metazoa; Chordata; Actinopteri; Perciformes; Gasterosteidae
Source: Ensembl
GUAAGAAUUUCCCUUGACUACGCUGCAUUCGGGUAGCGUGGCGCUGAGAAGUGCAUCUGCUGACCGGGGCCGUUAGCGGAGUCUGCACAGCGCUACGUGGUACAUUGUGUGUGUGUGGCAGCAGCAGCGCAGCGGCGCUUUUGCAGCGGAAAGUAAAGGCGAGGCGAGCUGGCCGGACGCAGGCAGGUUAGCAACCACACCGUCUAUGAUGAGGACCAAUCUGGUCGUGUUUGUGCAAAGCUCGGAUCCUCCAAUCACGCAACCAUUUCAGAAGAUGGGAACGUAUUUGCGCAGCGAUGCAUAGUCGCCGUUUAUGGUCACACAAAGGUCACUUAAACUGACAAACCUUCAAAGAUGCUGGAAGCAUCAAGAAGCAGGAGAAGGUACACUUUAUUUGAGCUACAUGUAGGCUCUGAGGAAAUCCAACUAAUUCCUAUGUAAUAUUAAAAACUAGGAGCAGACUGUUAACACUGCAGUCGGCCAGUAUCUGUGGUACAUUCAUUUUACAUGUCGUGUUGAUUGGCAAGCCAAUAAGAGGGCGAUAAGGGCCUUGUCACAGCUUGAAUCGGACUACUCAAAAAACUAAAGUUCUGUCUGUUCCUCUCAUCCCUACCAGCUAGUUUAAUGCUGUCAGUGUUGGGUGGGGGACACUCACAGCAAAGGUUCAGGUGACUUAAAAGGUAGGCUUCUAUAAAGGCCUUUGCAUUAUUAACGGCAGAUGAGGGAAAAGAGGAUGCAGAAGAUGUGGGAGAAGAUGUGGGAGACAAUGGGGGAAAGAUGAAGGCAAGAUGAGGGAGAAGAUGAGGGAGACCACGAGGGAGAAGAUGAGGGACAAGAUGAUGGAGAAGAUGAGGGAGACAAUGGGGGAAAGAUGUGGGAGAAGAUGAGGGAAAGAUGUGGGAGAAGAUGAGGGAGAUGAUGAGGGAAAGAUGUGGGAGAAGAU